UUGGAGGGCAAGUCUGGUGCCAGCAGCCGCGGUAAUUCCAGCUCCAAUAGCGUAUAUUAAAGUUGUUGCAGUUAAAAAGCUCGUAGUUGAACCUUGGGCCUGGCUGGCAGGUCCGCCUCACCGCGUGUACUUGACCGGCCGGGCCUUUCCUUCUGGAGAACCUCAUGCCCUUCACUGGGUGUGCUGGGGAACCAGGACUUUUACUUUGAAAAAAUUAGAGUGUUCAAAGCAGGCCUUUGCUCGAAUACGUUAGCAUGGAAUAAUAGAAUAGGACGUGCGGUCCUAUUUUGUUGGUUUCUAGGACCGCCGUAAUGAUUAAUAGGGACAGUCGGGGGCAUCAGUAUUCAAUUGUCAGAGGUGAAAUUCUUGGAUUUAUUGAAGACUAACUACUGCGAAAGCAUUUGCCAAGGAUGUUUUCAUUAAUCAGUGAACGAAAGUUAGGGGAUCGAAGACGAUCAGAUACCGUCGUAGUCUUAACCGUAAACUAUGCCGACUAGGGAUCGGGCGAUGUUCUCAUUUUGACUCGCUCGGCGCCUUACGGGAAAC
This 546-nucleotide ribosomal RNA is filed under the name uncultured Pleosporales. RNAcentral describes it as "SSU rRNA". It matches the Rfam family "Eukaryotic small subunit ribosomal RNA", at positions 548 to 1098 of the family's 1831-position model. The record is from RNAcentral. Lineage: Eukaryota; Fungi; Ascomycota; Dothideomycetes; Pleosporales.